UCGAGAAUUUUUCACAAUGGGGGAAACCCUGAUGGAGCGACGCCGCGUGGAGGAUGAAGGCCCUCGGGUCGUAAACUCCUGUCAUGCGGGAACAAGAAAGUGAUAGUACCGCAAGAGGAAGAGACGGCUAACUCUGUGCCAGCAGCCGCGGUAAUACAGAGGUCUCAAGCGUUAUUCGGAUUCAUUGGGCGUAAAGGGUGCGUAGGUGGCGAUGUAAGUCUGGUGUGAAAUCUCGGAGCUUAACUCCGAAACUGCAUUGGAUACUGCGUUGCUUGAGGAUUGUAGAGGAGAGUGGAAUUCACGGUGUAGCAGUGAAAUGCGUAGAUAUCGUGAGGAAGACCAGUUGCGAAGGCGACUCUCUGGGCAAUUCCUGACACUGAGGCACGAAGGCCAGGGGAGCAAACGG
Molecule: ribosomal RNA, 406 nt
Filed under: uncultured bacterium
Lineage: Bacteria
Description: bacterial SSU rRNA
Rfam family: Bacterial small subunit ribosomal RNA
Source: RNAcentral